AGAAAAUAUAUUCUAGUUUCAAAAUAUAAGUGUAAUAUAACAAUUACAGAUUUUACUUUUUAAAAAAAGAUACAGAAUGUAUCCCAAAAGAUACAGAAAAUGUAUCUUUUGGAAGAGUCUUACCCAAAACUGUAGAUCUGCUUCUUUUUAUUUUUGCUGCUUCCUCAAGUGUACUGUACUUCAUGUUGGACAACCUCAUAAGUGUUGUUUUCAGAACAUUAAACUGUUUACUGCCCUUCUUCCAACCUAUCUUUUUCCGAACUGCGUCAAUAGCUUUAGUCAUUUUAGACAGACUCCACUUUCUUUGAUCAACCUUCCCCACUAUCCUCUUAGAAUCUGCAACAGAAUUCCAAGAGAAUGAGAAUACAGACAGACUUUACACAUGAAAAAAUAAGCGGUCCGGUUUGUGUGACUAUAGCGUACAUUUUUUUAACCCAAUAAAUUUUUAACCUAAAAUCUAAAUUAAACAUUUUAAUGAUAAACAUGAACCUUAAAC
This 496-nucleotide long non-coding RNA is filed under the name Androctonus crassicauda. Lineage: Eukaryota; Metazoa; Arthropoda; Arachnida; Scorpiones; Buthidae. The record is from RNAcentral.